This 30-nucleotide non-coding RNA is filed under the name Mus musculus (house mouse). Lineage: Eukaryota; Metazoa; Chordata; Mammalia; Rodentia; Muridae. The record is from RNAcentral.
UGCGAUAGAUAUUGCUUCCUAUCCUGGGCU